AAUAGGUCAGCUAAGUAAGGAGGGGCUAGUCCAUGAAUAAUUUUAUAGGUUAGUAACAGAACCUUAAAAUCUGAUCUCACUUGGACAGGAAGCCAGUGAAGAGACACAAAAAUUGGUAUAAUGUGGUCAAUCUUUCUGCUUCCUUGUCAAGAGUCUGGCAGCAGCAUUUUGAACCAAUUGGAGACCCCUAAUGCUGGACUGCAGUAAACCAGAAAAUAGAACAUUGCAGUAGAAAGAUCUAGAAGAAACAAAUGCAUGGAUCGGGGUCUC
Long non-coding RNA from Thalassophryne amazonica, 270 nucleotides. RefSeq lists it as uncharacterized. The transcript has 3 exons. The record is from RefSeq and is a predicted model, not a curated record. NCBI's taxonomy places the organism in Eukaryota, Metazoa, Chordata, Actinopteri, Batrachoidiformes, Batrachoididae.